RNAcentral lists this ribosomal RNA (254 nucleotides) under uncultured bacterium. Its description in RNAcentral is "partial 16S ribosomal RNA". It matches the Rfam family "Bacterial small subunit ribosomal RNA", at positions 524 to 777 of the family's 1533-position model. The record is from RNAcentral.
UACGUAGGGUGCGAGCGUUAAUCGGAAUUACUGGGCGUAAAGCGUGCGCAGGCGGUUUUGUAAGCCAGAUGUGAAAUCCCCGGGCUUAACCUGGGAAUGGCAUUUGGGACUGCAAGGCUCGAGUGCGGCAGAGGAGACUGGAAUUCCUGGUGUAGCAGUGAAAUGCGUAGAUAUCAGGAGGAACACCGAUGGCGAAGGCAGAUCUCUGGGCCGUAACUGACGCUGAGGAGCGAAAGCGUGGGGAGCGAACAGGA